UGAGAAUUCUUAGUUUAGCUCUGAGCC
RNAcentral lists this non-coding RNA (27 nucleotides) under Mus musculus (house mouse). The record is from RNAcentral. Lineage: Eukaryota; Metazoa; Chordata; Mammalia; Rodentia; Muridae.